Capsicum annuum is the source of this 749-nucleotide long non-coding RNA. RefSeq lists it as uncharacterized. NCBI's taxonomy places the organism in Eukaryota, Viridiplantae, Streptophyta, Magnoliopsida, Solanales, Solanaceae. The transcript has 3 exons. The record is from RefSeq and is a predicted model, not a curated record.
GGUGAUGUUCUCUGGAUAGUCUUUGACAAGCUUAGUUAUAACUCCGCAGUGCUUUGUUAUAGCUUCUAAAGUUGGUCUCGUGACAAGUUGUUUUGCAUUAGUGUCGUCUGAGCUUGUUUUAUGUUGGUUUCUUAUUUUCUUUUUCGUUAUCUGCUUGAUAUUGAUUCGUUGAAGUGUAUAUCCUUCGAAACAGAUCCAGGGUCUGUGGAAGGUUAAAAAUCAAAACAUCUCUACACUAUUUCAGCAGGCAAAACAACUGAAGGAGCGGUUUCUUUCUUUCCGCAUCAUUCAUGUUCUUCGGGAAUCAAACUGUGACGCUGAUCAGCUGGCGAACUUGGCUGUGGAACUCCCUGAUGGUCAUGUCCAGGAGGAUAUAGAGAAAUGACAGCGCGACAGUAAACAACGAGUCUAAAGUGGUGCGGACGAAGACCUUGUCGCGCUAACCACCAAGGUCUAUCGCGUUGCAGCAUCCUGUUCUCUUGCCUGUAAGUCGAAGACCGCUGAGGGGAACUGUUCCCUCAUUGAUCCGAAUCAUAUCGAGCUGUUGACACAAAGUUAAUUUAAACUUGUAUUAGUAUCGCGAUAUGCAUGUAACAACGAAUUUCAACAACAUACCCGUGUAAUCUCUGCUGAGGGUAUGAUGUACGCAAACUUUACCUCUAUCUUUGUCGGCUAUAGAGUCUUUUCCCGAUCGAUCUUUGGCUCAAAAUGACAAUUCUUAAAUAGACUUUUAACAUUUGUGAUUCUUA